AACCACAUCAUGUUGAAAUCCCGGUUCCCGUCCAAUCACCGAAGUUAAGCAACAUUGAACCUGGCCUGUACCUAGAUGGGUGACCACUUGGGAAUACCAGGUGUUGUAAG
Molecule: non-coding RNA, 110 nt
Organism: Acanthosepion pharaonis
Lineage: Eukaryota; Metazoa; Mollusca; Cephalopoda; Sepiida; Sepiidae
Source: the annotation of a GenBank genome assembly